GACGAACGCUGGCGGCGUGCUUAACACAUGCAAGUCGAACGGAAAGGCCCUGCUUUUGUGGGUUGCUCGAGUGGCGAACGGGUGAGUAACACGUGAGUAACCUGCCCUUGACUUUGUGAUAUCUUCAGGGAACUGGGGCUAAUAUCGGAGAUGAUCUCCUGCUGCGUAGUGGUGGUUGGAGAGUGUCGGCGUUUGGGGAUGGACUCGCGGGUUAUCAGCUUGUUUGUGUGGUAGGUGCUGUCCAAGGCUUUGACGGGUAGCCUGCCUGAGAGGGUGACCGGGCACCAUGCGACUGCGAGACGGACCAGACUCCUACGGGAGGCAGCAGUGGGGAACAUUACACAAUGGGCGCAAGCGUGAUACAGCAACGCUGCGUGCGGGAUGCUCGCCUACGGGUUGUAAACAGAUUUCGAAUGUGCCGAAGCGUGAGUGACGGUACUGGGUAAAGAAGCACCGGCUAACUACGUG
This 468-nucleotide ribosomal RNA is filed under the name uncultured bacterium. RNAcentral describes it as "partial 16S ribosomal RNA". It matches the Rfam family "Bacterial small subunit ribosomal RNA", at positions 28 to 507 of the family's 1533-position model. The record is from RNAcentral.